GAUCCCUUCAAGUGACCAUGAAUAUAUUGUUGACAAGAAGGAUCCGUGUGAGGUGCUGGAUGAGGGUAUCACUUCUGAUGGGAAUUGUUCCAAUAUGAAGACAAACUGCAAGCCUUUGAUUGAUUUUCUUGAUGAAAAUGGUGCUGAAGUUCCUGGAUUGGAUGAUAUAAGUAGUGAAGUUGAUAUUAUGAAAUAGAAAGGGAAAACUGUUGAUGAUAGUGUACAUAUUGAUAGGGAGUGCAGCCUCGAAAUUGAGGUCCUCUUUAAUUCUCCUCCCAUGAAAACUACGGAUGUACUUUCUGCUGUUCUUGAUGGAUCCCCUGUUCAUGUGAUAAAAAAAAGAGAUUGUUUACAAUCUUCCUAGGGGU
Molecule: non-coding RNA, 368 nt
Organism: Arachis ipaensis
Lineage: Eukaryota; Viridiplantae; Streptophyta; Magnoliopsida; Fabales; Fabaceae
Source: RefSeq, a predicted model, not a curated record